AUUGAACGCUGGCGGCAUGCCUUACACAUGCAAGUCGAACGGUAACAGGUUAAGCUGACGCGUGGCGAACGGGUGAGUCAUACAUCGGAACGUGCCCAGUAGUGGGGGAUAGCCCGGCGAAAGCCGGAUUAAUACCGCAUACGACCUAAGGGUGCAAGGGGGGGAUCGCAAGACCUCUCGCUAUUGGAGCGGCCGAUGUCAGAUUAGCUAGUUGGUGGGGUAAAAGCUCACCAAGGCGACGAUCUGUAGCUGGUCUGAGAGGACGACCAGCCACACUGGGACUGAGACACGGCCCAGACUCCUACGGGAGGCAGCAGUGGGGAAUUUUGGACAAUGGGCGCAAGCCUGAUCCAGCCAUGCCGCGUGCGGGAAGAAGGCCUUCGGGUUGUAAACCGCUUUUGUCAGGGAAGAAAUCCUUUGGGUUAAUACCUCGGGGGGAUGACGGUACCUGAAGAAUAAGCACCGGCUAACUACGUG
This 477-nucleotide ribosomal RNA is filed under the name uncultured bacterium. RNAcentral's name for it is "partial 16S ribosomal RNA". It matches the Rfam family "Bacterial small subunit ribosomal RNA", at positions 30 to 507 of the family's 1533-position model. The record is from RNAcentral.